CUGGUUGGUGUGUUGUUUGGGUGGAGAUGAGAUAACAGGUUCGAUUCCCAUUCCUUCCUUUUUAUUUCUAUUACGUAAAGCUUGGUUUUCUUGUGCUCGUUGGGAUGUUCCCUCCUUGUCCGGGCCGAGCUCGGUUAUCGUGCUCGUUGGGCCUGUGCUUGUCCGAGCCGAGGUUCUCUGCAGCCGAGCUGUGCCUGUGCUUGUCCGAGCGAAGGUUCUUUGUGCAUGUGCUUGUGCUCGCUGGGCCCUGCCCCUGCUCGUUCGAGGUUCUGUGUGCCUGUGCUUGUCCGACCCACCUCAACUGAAGCGCGAAGAGCCGAGGCCGAGGUCGGACCACAGGUGUG
Molecule: long non-coding RNA, 344 nt
Filed under: Phoenix dactylifera (date palm)
Lineage: Eukaryota; Viridiplantae; Streptophyta; Magnoliopsida; Arecales; Arecaceae
Description: long non-coding RNA (PDAC_LNC002638)
Source: RNAcentral